This 31-nucleotide non-coding RNA is filed under the name Rattus norvegicus (Norway rat). Lineage: Eukaryota; Metazoa; Chordata; Mammalia; Rodentia; Muridae. The record is from RNAcentral.
UUCUCGGCCUUAAGAGUCAAGACUGCUUGAU